RNAcentral lists this ribosomal RNA (463 nucleotides) under uncultured bacterium. Its description in RNAcentral is "partial 16S ribosomal RNA". It matches the Rfam family "Bacterial small subunit ribosomal RNA", at positions 28 to 507 of the family's 1533-position model. The record is from RNAcentral.
GAUGAACGCUGACAGAAUGCUUAACACAUGCAAGUCGAUGGGGAAGUGGUGCUUGCACCAUGGCAACCAUGGCGGACUGGUGAGUAACGCGUAAGGGACUUACCUGCAGGACUUGGAUAACAGGGAGAAACUCCUGACAAGACCGGAUAAUGUCAUGGAGCUGCAUGUCUUUAUGAUGAAAGGAGGCGCCUGCGGAGAGCCUUGCGUCCUAUUAGCUAGUUGGUGAGGUAAUGGCUCACCAAGGCGAAGAUAGGUAGCCGGCCUGAGAGGUUGGACGGCCAAGAGGGGAAUGAGAUACGGCACUUACGACUACGGGAGGCAGCAGUGGAGAAUAUUGGACACUGGGGGCAACGCUGAUCAAGCAAUUCUGUGUGCACGAAGAAGGUUUUCGGAUUGUAAAGUGCUUUCAGAAGGGAAGAAGUAAGUGACGGUACCUGCAGAAGAAGCGACGGCUAACUACGUG